Octodon degus (degu) is the source of this 1124-nucleotide RNA transcript. It is a transcript of the gene named protein cornichon homolog 1 pseudogene, with no coding region annotated. The record is from RefSeq and is a predicted model, not a curated record. The transcript has a single exon. Lineage: Eukaryota; Metazoa; Chordata; Mammalia; Rodentia; Octodontidae.
AUGGCCGCUGCUGGGGGAAGCAAAUGGUUUUACCCUCGGGCCCCGCGCCGCCGCCAGCCGCUCCACCCCAGCCACGCCCCAGCCACGGCGUUUACGUUCGCGGCCUUCUGCUACAUGCCGGCGCUCCUGCUCAACGCCGCGCUCAUCUUCUUCGCCAUCUGGCACAUUACAGCGUUUGAUGAGUUGAAGACUGAUUACAAGAAUCCUAUAGACUAGUGUAAUACCCUGAAUCCUCUGGUCCUCCCGGAGUAUCUCAUCCAUGCGUUCUUCUGUGUCAUGUCAGAGUGGCUCACGCUGGGUCUCAACAUGCCCCUCUUGGCGUACCAUAUUUGGAGGUACAUGAGUAGACCGGUGAUAAGCCAACCAGGACUCUACGACCCCACUACCAUCAUGAACACAGACAUCCUAGCAUACUGUCAGAAAGAAGGAUGGUGCAAGCUAGCUUUUUACCUCCUAGCAUUUUUUUACUACCUAUAUGGCAUGAUCUAUGUUUUGGUGAGCUCUUAGAACAACACACGGAAGAGUUGGUCCGGUUAAGUGCAUGCAGAAGCCACCAAGUGAAGGGAUUCUAUUCGGCAAGAUCCUGUUUCCAAGAGUAGUCUAUGGAAUCUGAUCAAUUUCUUUAAAAAAAUGACUCUUUAUUUUUUAAAUGUUUCCACAUUUUUUGCUUGUGGAAAGACUUUUCAUAUGUUAUACUAGGAUAAAGAAUUUAAGUGGAUUGCGUAUAAUAUAAAAUGAUUACCUCUAGUGUUAACAGGUGGAACUUGCACUCCUUCAGGAACAGCCAUGUCCUUUGAACGAGUGCACUAAUUCCUGGCCGUCCUUAGUCCACGGGAAGCUUUUGCUGGUAGGAACCUGUACGGCUUAUUUUGGUUUAUUUUUCUGGGGUGCCAGCAAUCAAACUCAGGCCUUCACACUUGCCAGGCAGGCACUGCGCCCCUGAGCUACAUCUCUGGCUCCAUUUUGGUUUAUUGAAAUGCCAUCUUAUUAUAAAUUAGCUGUCGAUAAUCAGGUGCUUCUGAUGAAGUGAAAAUGUGUAUCUGACACGUAGGAAACUUGACAGUUUCCUCAUUUAUCAUGUAGAUGAGUAUAUCUGGAUACAUUUACAAAAAUAAGUGGCAUUU